AUUGAACGCUGGCGGCAGGCCUAACACAUGCAAGUCGAGCGGAUGAAGGGAGCUUGCUCCUGGAUUCAGCGGCGGACGGGUGAGUAAUGCCUAGGAAUCUGCCAGGUAGUGGGGGAUAACGUCCGGAAACGGGCGCUAAUACCGCAUACGUCCUGAGGGAGAAAGUGGGGGAUCUUCGGACCUCACGCUAUCAGAUGAGCCUAGGUCGGAUUAGCUAGUUGGUGGGGUAAAGGCCUACCAAGGCGACGAUCCGUAACUGGUCUGAGAGGAUGAUCAGUCACACUGGAACUGAGACACGGUCCAGACUCCUACGGGAGGCAGCAGUGGGGGAUAUUGGACAAUGGGCGAAAGCCUGAUCCAGCCAUGCCGCGUGUGUGAAGAAGGUCUUCGGAUUGUAAAGCACUUUAAGUUGGGAGGAAGGGCAGUAAGUUAAUACCUUGCUGUUUUGACGUUACCAACAGAAUAAGCACCGGCUAACUUCGU
Molecule: ribosomal RNA, 483 nt
Filed under: uncultured bacterium
Lineage: Bacteria
Description: partial 16S ribosomal RNA
Rfam family: Bacterial small subunit ribosomal RNA
Source: RNAcentral